UACGGAGGAUUCAAGCGUUAUCCGGAUUUAUUGGGUGUAAAGGGAGCGUAGACGGCGAGGUAAGCCUGAAGUGGAAGCCCGCGGCCCAACCGCGGAACUGCUUUGGGAACUGUUUUGCUGGAGUAUGGGAGGGGUAAGCGGAAUUCCUGGUGUAGCGGUGAAAUGCGUAGAUAUCAGGAGGAACACCGGUGGCGAAGGCGGCUUACUGGACCAUAACUGACGUUGAGGCUCGAAAGCGUGGGGAGCAAACAGG
RNAcentral lists this ribosomal RNA (253 nucleotides) under uncultured Eubacteriales bacterium. Its description in RNAcentral is "uncultured Clostridiales bacterium partial 16S ribosomal RNA". It matches the Rfam family "Bacterial small subunit ribosomal RNA", at positions 524 to 776 of the family's 1533-position model. Lineage: Bacteria; Bacillati; Bacillota; Clostridia; Eubacteriales. The record is from RNAcentral.